This is a long non-coding RNA of Bombus terrestris (buff-tailed bumblebee), 1184 nucleotides long. RefSeq lists it as uncharacterized. The transcript has 2 exons. The record is from RefSeq and is a predicted model, not a curated record. Lineage: Eukaryota; Metazoa; Arthropoda; Insecta; Hymenoptera; Apidae.
CACGGUGUACGAACGCGGUUACGCGAGUAGCGCGAUAGCGAGCACGAGGCAGAACCGCUUCGCUGCAACGAUUCCGUCCGCCUCGUAAGCGUUAUCGCGACGGAGCGAGCAGCGUUUCGUCGGUCGUCUACCGACGCGGCCUUGACCUUCCAGCGAAACCUCGAUGAAAGUCCGGCGAACGAGACCGGGCUCAUCGUCGACCUCGUUAGCCGCGCGACGCUGUCUUCGCUCUCGCACGUAGAAACGCGAAUUCCGGGUAAAUGUGUGCGUGGAAAUUCGAUAGAUUCAGCGACGUCCCGGACCAUGAUCUUCAUCGCCGUGGUAUCUCGCAUCGACGCUGGACACGCGCAAAACGUACGUCGACGUUGCGAGACCGGACGUCUCGUCGGCGACGAAGAAUUCUCGCCUCGAGAACACGUGGUCGACGUGGCUGGCCGCGAAAGCGACGAACGACGGCCGACCGAGCGGCAGCCCGUUUUACGAUUGCUUGCGUAACGUUUUGCGGCGUAGCCGUCGGCGACCUUGACAUCGAUCCACUUGCAUAGUGUCUGCGAAAAGGUUUGGACGAGUCGAAGGCCGAGCAGCGAAGGACCGCGGCAAAUCGCCGAGCGUAUCACCGUGUCCUUAGAGGGAGAUCAACAACCCGAGGGAUGCGUCUAUCGCGCCGAUGAGAAUAACCAGAACUCGAAGGCUCGCGAACGUAGCAGACGUACAUGCAAAUUCGAGUGCUGAUAAGUCCGGAAUGGAACUUGAAAUAGAAGAGCCGGAGGAACAGAGGGGAAGAGGUACUUUCGAUCGAGCUGAGAAGCGCGUCGAUAGAGAUAGCGAGCAGCAAGAACCGGCAGCGCGAUACCGCAUUGCGUAUAAAAGGGUUUCCUUUUCAAGGUGAAUCGAUGAUAAGGCGACUGGUUUGCCCCACGGUCACUUUGUUCUCUAGAAAAAUCAAAUUGGGUUGAUGGAAUAUUCUCUGCAUGGAAUGCGUAAAAAUCGCCCGAUCUCCGACCGGUCGAUCGGAUAAAAUACUCGAAAAAGAAAAAUCAGAAAUCGAUCGUUCCAAUGUCUCGAAAUUUUCGUACAUUAACGGAUAAAGAAUUCGUCCGCUAGAAAACUGACUUAUAUACGCGGUACGUUUUAGAAUAAGGGAACUUUGUAGUCUAAAGAAUUUAAUAAACUCGUUUCCACGA